UGGGGAAUUUUGGACAAUGGGCGAAAGCCUGAUCCAGCAAUGCCGCGUGUGUGAAGAAGGCCUUCGGGUUGUAAAGCACUUUUGUCCGGAAAGAAAUCCUUGGCUCUAAUACAGUCGGGGGAUGACGGUACCGGAAGAAUAAGCACCGGCUAACUACGUGCCAGCAGCCGCGGUAAUACGUAGGGUGCAAGCGUUAAUCGGAAUUACUGGGCGUAAAGCGUGCGCAGGCGGUUUGCUAAGACCGAUGUGAAAUCCCCGGGCUCAACCUGGGAACUGCAUUGGUGACUGGCAGGCUAGAGUAUGGCAGAGGGGGGUAGAAUUCCACGUGUAGCAGUGAAAUGCGUAGAGAUGUGGAGGAAUACCGAUGGCGAAGGCAGCCCCCUGGGCCAAUACUGACGCUCAUGCACGAAAGCGUGGGGGAGCAAACAGGAUUAGAUACCCUGGUAGUCCACGCCCUAAACGAUGUCAACUAGUUGUUGGGGAUUCAUUCCUUAGUAACGUAGCUAACGCGUGAAGUUGACCGCCUGGGGAGUACGGUCGCAAGAUUAAAACUCAAAUGAAUUGACGGGGUCAUAGCUGUUU
RNAcentral lists this ribosomal RNA (582 nucleotides) under uncultured bacterium. Its description in RNAcentral is "partial 16S ribosomal RNA". It matches the Rfam family "Bacterial small subunit ribosomal RNA", at positions 355 to 935 of the family's 1533-position model. The record is from RNAcentral.